This 116-nucleotide small RNA is filed under the name Marmota monax (woodchuck). Lineage: Eukaryota; Metazoa; Chordata; Mammalia; Rodentia; Sciuridae. The record is from RNAcentral.
AUCAGGCAUGGUGGUGUGUGCCUAUAGUCCAGCUACUUAGGAGGCUGAAGCAGGAGGGUCACUUGAGUCUAGGAGCUCAGGGUUAGCCUGGACAACAUAGUGAGACCCCAUCUCUU